UGUGCAAUCAACAAUACUGUUACCUCACAAUUCAUAUAAGGUGAUUGUUUCCAUUUUCAGCAGGAUCAAGAAAAGAAUAUUCUCAUGACUUGGGAGUGAGUAUUUUCAAGCAAUAGAAUAGAGAAAUAAUUAAGAAAAGUGAAGAUCUAAUGCAGUCCUUUUAGUACCAGGCAGCUUCUAACCAGAAACAUUCUAUAGCUAUUAGCAGCUAGUUGCUAGUACGGUGGUUAUAGCAAGGAAAUAAAGCUGUUGUGAAAUCUUAAUUGGAAAAGAAUUGAAAAUAACGGUACUUGAACACAUAACCUUGGUGGCGAGUGCUUAGUUGCCAUGGAGAUUGGCAAAGACUUGCAAUGUAGACAUCUAAUCUUCACAAAAAUGAACAAGGGUACUGGUAUACAAAAAUACCUUCCCUGUAAUUUGGAGCAGUUUCAUAGCCUGUCUAUCAUAAAUUGGCAUUUCAAAAAGUCAGGGCUGUGACUGAUAUGAGACAUAGUGAUUUAAUCUAAUUUGUGAAAAACAAGGAAUUGUCACAUGCAGCAAUGAACAGAGAGCCAUUCUGACAAGGCAAAGGCAGAGCUGACAGGCACUCCCACUCACCUUCAGGAAAAUAUUGAGAUUCAGCUACAAACAGCACUCCAGAGGAAGCUAUACUUUAGUAAUGAAACUUAAAACUUUUGUAGAUACCUUGUGAGUUUCUUUUGCCAUUUGGCACUCAAACCCGAGAGGAAAACAGACCUUUCUUGUGGGCAUAACCCCCAUCAUAAAAGUCACAAUGGCAGGCUUGAUUCAGGUGUCCCAGGAGAGUGUCAGUCCCAGCUGGAGCAACUGAUAGCAGCAGAAAGCACUUUGAGGGAUGAAGGUACCUCAGAGCAUGGGCCACUUCUUAUGUGAAGUAUUUGCCAUCCAAUUUCAAGUGACAUGAGGGAGACUGGGUCCAUGGAGGUAACUCACUGAAACAUCUCUAACUGGUUGGCUUCCCUCUAAUUAAAUAGUAAUAGACAUUGUGAUGAACAACAUGAUGCACACAAAAUAGAGACACAGACAAUCUGAUUCUAGUUAGCUCUCUUUUUACACUGCUGUAAAACUGGACUGACGCAGUUGCGAGCCAGGCCCCCAGAGUAAACUACACCUAAAAAUCAACACUGUGGUUUGUGUGUUGUGUCAUAAGGGACAGGUCUGGCUUAGACAUAUUCUGCUCCAGGUUUAUGAUCUGGAUUUAAAUCAGCCUCAGAUGCUGACAUCUGGGGUUUCUGGACUCUGUAAGCUGUGGUGUUGAGAACUCUUUAGGCUGUAACUAGUGAGACAGCAAAAUCCAUCCAGGAGCUCUGAGACCAUGGCUUAAAUGUUACCAAGAUCAGAAUUAACUAAAGCUGUAUCUUGUUGGAUGGCCCUUCAGCUGCCAAAGUAAAACUGUUUUUUGGCUUUCCACCAAAGACAGUAAACUAGGGUAGUCAUUCCCCUUUGAACAUUACAUAGUUUGAAGAGUUAGCAUUGAAGCAUGCCAAAAAAUAACUGAAAUAAUAUCAGCAUGUCAUUAUUUAAUGGAUUUAACCAAAUUAACGCCGAACCUAGUCAAUAAGUACAGAAAACACUCAUUUCUCUUUCUUUGAGACUGUACUCUUAAAUUAGAGCUGCCAGCUGUCAUUAAACACGUGAAAAGAAAAAAAAUACUCUGUGUCUGAUUUAAAAUAUUUUCUGGUACAUCUUUCCACUGUAUCCCAGGAGAAAAUGACAAUUGUUUUUGUUACAGAAGACAAAACACCACUCACAUCCCUUGCCCUCCCUCUGGGAAGGGAAGCAUAUCACAGAAUCUAUUAGGUUGGAAAAGACCUCUGAGACCAUCAAGUCCAGUCUUUGACUGAUCAUCACUUUCUCAAAGAGGCCACAGCACUAUGUGCCAUGUCCAGUCUUCCCUUAAACACUUCUAGAUUCAGUGACUCCACAUCUCCCUGGGCAUUUUAUUCCAAUGUUUAAUUGCCCUUUCUUUAAAGAAAUGCCUCCUAAUGUCCAACCUGAACUUUCCUUGGGGCAGUUUGAUAGUAGAUACACCUCAGAUCCUUUUUGAGAAGUGUGAUGAGCAGCUCCUUCUGGGCUGCUGAGGCAAGUGGCUCUCAAGUCUCCAGACUUCAAAUCUAACACCUGGGGCUUCAAAUGCAACAUUUUUUCGAAGUAGCCCUACAGCUUGGCGGCUGUGGUGUUGGCAGAGCUUGUCUGACACACCAAUCUCCACCUUCCUUCCUCCCAGGAAUUUCCUUUCAAUACUUGCCACAGAAUCACAGGAUAUUCUGAGUUGGAAGGCCUGGCCCCUGCCCAGGACACCCUAAGAGUCACACCAUUUGCCUGAGAGCAUUGUCCAAACUCUCCUUGAACCGUCAGGCUUAGCGCUGUGACCGCUUCCCUGGGGAGCCGUUCCAGUGCCCAACCACCCUUUGGGUGAAGAAUCUUUUCCUGAUAUUCAGCCUAAACCUCCCCUGACACAACUUCAGGCCAUUCCCUUGGGUCCUGUCACUGGUCACCACAGAGAAGAGAUCAGUGCCUGCCCCUCCUCCUCCCCUUGUGAGGAACCUGUAGAGAGCAAGGUCUCCCCUCAGCCUGCUCUUCUCCAGCUGAGCAAACCAAGAGACCUCAGCCGCUCUUCACAGGGCCUCUCCUCCAGACCCACUGCCACCUUUGUUGCCCUCCUCUAUAGCUUUAUAUCUUUCUUAUUUUGUGGCGCCCAAAACUGCUCAUGAUAUUUAAAGUGAGGCCACACCAGUGCAGACUCGGCCCCACUUUUAUGAGUGACUAUCAGGUCACUUUUGUUCUGGAAGAGCUGAAAGCCCCAACUCUUCACUCAUUAAUCACUUUGCGAGCCCAGUGACCCCAUAGCUCUGGCAGGUGGGCUGAGACGGGGCUGGCCGAGGAGGGAAGCCGCCUCUCCUGCUCGCCAGCCGGAUUCCCUCCCCAUCCGCAGCCGGACAGCCGGACGGACAGACGGACAGACGGACAAACGGAGAAGGGCGGGGCCCGGGGUGCUCCCUGCCCUGCCGCCCCCGGCACCUGCCGUGACGCGGGCGCCGGUAGGGGGCGCUGCCGCCCGCUCGGCCUCAGGGCGCGGUGGAGCGGGGCCGGAGCGGAGGGGGCCGGGCCGGGGCCGGAGCGGGGCCGGGGCCGGGGCCGGGGAUGCGGGGGCGCCGCGGCAGCGCUCUCACUGCCCCCACGGGCGCUGCGCUCCGCGCCUCUGCUCCGUUCACCUAGCUGCCCCUCCCGCAUCGUGCCCCCCUCCACCUUUCCCGCCCGCCGGCUCUGAGGGCUUGAACCACCUCCCGAAGGAGGCUGGGAGCGUCCCUGGUGUGAGGAGCGGAGCGCCCGACCCGGACCGGGAGUUCGAUAGGAAAGACGCGAGGUCUAGAGGAGGAGAGUUUCUUUCCAGGGUAGAUCCUGCUUCUUCAAAGUUUCCAAUUGCUGCCUGGAUUGAAGCACUGUAUCUGAGAAAGCAGAUCUGACAGCUCUCCCCCGUUCAGAGGCUUCGAGUUAACUGUGAUCAACAGAUGAGAAGUAGUCGGUCCCUGACUUUGUUUCACACAUAACUACGGCACUCAGUCAGGAAGCACUUUGCCAGACAUAAUACAGAGCAAUGUGUGCGUCUUUCUCUUGGUCCUAAUGCCCUCACUGUGCUUGUCCUAUCAAAUCAAAACUUUGCAAAAGCUGUAAGAGGUGAAAUACAAGAAGCAGAAUGUUGUAUUAGAAAAGAAAUCAAGGCACACCACAGACUGCUGUACGUUGGAAUAGCUGUAAUAAGCUGAGAAUGCACAGAGCAAGAAUCAAGAAUUUUAUAAAGUGAACGAAAGGUGGAGAGCACAUGUUUUAUUUCAGG
Motacilla alba alba is the source of this 3856-nucleotide long non-coding RNA. RefSeq lists it as uncharacterized. The transcript is spliced from 2 exons. NCBI's taxonomy places the organism in Eukaryota, Metazoa, Chordata, Aves, Passeriformes, Motacillidae. The record is from RefSeq and is a predicted model, not a curated record.